This 1466-nucleotide long non-coding RNA is filed under the name Marmota monax (woodchuck). The record is from RNAcentral. Lineage: Eukaryota; Metazoa; Chordata; Mammalia; Rodentia; Sciuridae.
UUUUUUUUUAAUUUAUUUAUUUAUUUUUAAGGGGAGAAGGAAACAGCUUCAAGCUUCAGACUUGGCAGUUAUUUCUUGGAAAUGAUACCAAAAACACAGGCAACAACAAAAAAUAGAUUUUACUUUUGUUUAUCAAAAGAUAUUGUCAACACACUGAAAAGGCAGUCCACAGAUUAGGAGAAAUAUUUGCAAAUUAUGUAUCUGAUAAGAGGUUCAUGUUCAAAAUAUAUAAAGAAGCAACAACAACAAAAGCAUGAUAAAUUGGCAAAGGAAUUAAAUAGACAUUUCUCUAAAUAAGACACACAAAUGACCAAUAAAGGCAAGAUGCUUAGCAUCACUAAUCAUUAGGGAAAUUCAAAUCAAAACAACAAAUACAUAACUACUCCACUCCCAAUUUAGUAUAGCUAUUAUCAGAAAAAGUAAAUGUUGGCAAGAAUGUAUAGAAAUUGGAAAUCUUAAUAAAACUGGUGGGAAUGUAGAAGAGUGUAGCCACCAUGGAAGACAGUACAGUAAUUCCUAAAAAUAUUAAAAACAGAAUGAACAUAUGACCCAGCAAUUUCAUUUUUGGGUAUAUACCAAAGGAAUACUUUAUUCAUAGCAUGAUUCACAAUAGCCAAGAGAUAGAAACAGCCUAAAUGUCUUAUCAGAUGAAUGGACAAACAAUAUAGCAUAUACAUAAAAUGGAAUGCUAUAAAAAGGAAAGAUUCUGAUACAUGCUUCAACAUAGAUGAACCUUGAAAAAGUUAUAUGAAGUAUAAAAUCCCACAUAUAAAAGGACAAAUACUAUAUUCCAAUUAUAUGAAAUACUUAGAAUAGUCAAAUUCAUAGAGAUAGGAGUAGAAUGAAGAUUUCUUGGGGCUAAGAGUCAGGAGUGAUGGACAGUUAGUGUUUAAUGGACAUAGUAUUGGGGAAUAUGAAAAAGUUUUGGAGAUGGAGGGUGACAGUGACUGCACAGUAAUGUAAUUGUUUUUUUUUUUUUGUUUGUUUGUUUGGUUUGGGUGGGAGGUAACAGGGAUUGAACCCAGGGGCACUUAACCACUGAGCCACAUUUCCAGUCCUUUUUAUUUUGAGACAGGGUCUUGCUAAGUUUUUUAGGGCCUCAGUCUCCUGAGCCACUGGGAUUACAGGCAUAUGCCACCCACAUCUGGCAUGAGUGUUCUUAAUGCCACAGAAUUAUGCAAAUUUUUUUUAGUUGUAAAUGAACACAAUACCUUUAUUUUAUUUAUUUUUAUGUGGUGCUGAGGAUCGAACCCAGUACCUUAUAUGUGUGAGACAAGCACUCUGCCGCUGAGCCACAAUCCCAGCCCCAGAAUCAUGUACCUUUAAAUAGUUAAAUUGGUAACUUUGAUGUGUAUUUAACCACAGUUUUAAAAAGUAGUGAGAACAUUCUUACGGUGAAAUAUUUUUUAAAGCUUAUAAAACAUUGACAUUAACAUGAACAUUUAUAUUUAUUUCUUUCAAUUUUG